This 253-nucleotide ribosomal RNA is filed under the name uncultured bacterium. Its description in RNAcentral is "partial 16S ribosomal RNA". It matches the Rfam family "Bacterial small subunit ribosomal RNA", at positions 524 to 776 of the family's 1533-position model. The record is from RNAcentral.
UACAGAGGUCUCAAGCGUUGUUCGGAUUCAUUGGGCGUAAAGGGUGCGUAGGCGGCGCGGUAAGUCGGGUGUGAAAUCUCGGAGCUUAACUCCGAAACUGCAUUCGAUACUGCCGUGCUUGAGGACUGGAGAGGAGACUGGAAUUUACGGUGUAGCGGUGAAAUGCGUAGAUAUCGUAAGGAACACCAAUAGCGAAGGCAGCUCGCUGGGACGUUACUGACACUAAGGCGCGAAAGCGUGGGGAGCGAACAGG